Molecule: ribosomal RNA, 468 nt
Filed under: uncultured bacterium
Lineage: Bacteria
Description: partial 16S ribosomal RNA
Rfam family: Bacterial small subunit ribosomal RNA
Source: RNAcentral
GACGAACGCUGGCGGCGUGCUUAACACAUGCAAGUCGAACGGAAAGGCCCUGCUUUUGUGGGGUGCUCGAGUGGCGAACGGGUGAGUAACACGUGAGUAACCUGCCCUUGACUUUGGGAUAACUUCAGGAAACUGGGGCUAAUACCGGAUAGGAGCUCCUGCUGCAUGGUGGGGGUUGGAAAGUUUCGGCGGUUGGGGAUGGACUCGCGGCUUAUCAGCUUGUUGGUGGGGUAGUGGCUUACCAAGGCUUUGACGGGUAGCCGGCCUGAGAGGGUGAACGGCCACAUUGGGACUGAGAUACGGCCCAGACUCCAACGGGAGGCAGCGGUGGGGAAUAUUGCACAAUGGGCGGAAGCCUGAUGCAGCAACGCCGCGUGCGGGAUGACGGCCUUCGGGUUGUAAACCGCUUUCGCCUGUGACGAAGCGUGAGUGACGGUAAUGGGUAAAGAAGCACCGGCUAACUACGUG